This 1098-nucleotide long non-coding RNA is filed under the name Monodelphis domestica (gray short-tailed opossum). RNAcentral describes it as "lncRNA (ENSMODG00000037929.1)". The record is from RNAcentral. Lineage: Eukaryota; Metazoa; Chordata; Mammalia; Didelphimorphia; Didelphidae.
UGAAAAAAGUAGGGUCGAAUGCUUACAUCACUGGGGAGAGCAGAUAAACAAAGGGAUUAAAGGCGGACUAUAUGCAAUUGAACUCAUUUCUUCAUUUACACAUUUAGAAAUUUACAACUUAGAAACUGUCAUUCCUUCAGUCUUUAGAAGCGACUGAAAUCGAGUAUAUUGAUGUUUCCUAAAGAAAACUUGAUAAAGGAAAAUCAAUCUCAAAAUCCAACAAAACGUCUCAUCAGCUAAGAAAUAGUUCUCAAAAGUUGAAAUGAACCACACUCCUCAUUUUCUUGAAUUCCAGCCUUAAGGAUUGCAAUUAAUUAUUGAAUGAUUAGAUUUGUUACCUGCAGCAUACAGGAGGUUUGGUUACUUUUUUAUCAGGCCAGACCAGGCCAAUUCUGAAUGCCAGGAAGUGGAGCAGUUUCUCAGGGUAACAAGUCAGUCACUGCUCGAUCUGCUCCCUGUUAGAGAGUUUAAAACAACAACUAAAAAAAUCCAAAGUUGACAUCACAAGCUGCGGGAAUGAUUGUAGAUGACCUCUGAGGUCCCUGCCGGUUCUAAAUCCAUCAUCUUCUGAACCUCUGGCCUAGGCUGGCCCUGCUGAGAUGUUUGUCUAAGUUAGCUUGUAAGCACUGGAAGGCUAUUUUGGUUAACUUUUCAUUUGCAGAGUCACCAGUGUGUGAUGUAGACACGACCUGGGUUCCAGCCCUGCCUCUGCUACUCAGCUCUACAAACUUAGGUCAAGUUACUAUCACAAGGCAUCCAAACCUCAUGCAGUGCAAUACUUGUCCAAGAUCUUACCUAUAGGCUAUUCCCAAUGGCCUGGAGGUGUUCCCACAGUCUUUAAAAAAAUUCUCCGGGUAUUAAGGAAGCACUCUGUAAGUCCCUUGGAGAACCCUUGAGCUCCUUAGAUAACUAGACCACCUCCUUUUCUUAUACAUUUCUGUAAAAUCCCUCAGGCCACUUUUUGCAUAUUUGAGCAAACUGAGUACAUCAAAGAGACCAACAUCACCCACUGCAACCAGGGCCAUAACCGGACAUCCUGACUUUUGUCUUGCCACUUUAAGAGAGAGUGCUGCUGUGUUGCUCUGCCUUGCUUAAAUC